This 500-nucleotide ribosomal RNA is filed under the name uncultured bacterium. RNAcentral describes it as "partial 16S ribosomal RNA". It matches the Rfam family "Bacterial small subunit ribosomal RNA", at positions 30 to 523 of the family's 1533-position model. The record is from RNAcentral.
AUUGAACGCUGGCGGCAUGCCUUACACAUGCAAGUCGAACGGCAGCACGGGAGCAAUCCUGGUGGCGAGUGGCGAACGGGUGAGUAAAGUAUCGGAACGUGCCCAGUCGUGGGGGAUAACGUAGCGAAAGUUACGCUAAUACCGCAUACGAUCUAUGGAUGAAAGCGGGGGAUCGCAAGACCUCGCGCGAUUGGAGCGGCCGAUAUCAGAUUAGGUAGUUGGUGGGGUAAAGGCGCACCAAGCCGACGAUCUGUAGCUGGUCUGAGAGGACGACCAGCCACACUGGGACUGAGACACGGCCCAGACUCCUACGGGAGGCAGCAGUGGGGAAUUGUGGACAAUGGGCGAAAGCCUGAUCCAGCCAUGCCGCGUGCAGGAUGAAGGCCUUCGGGUUGUAAACUGCUUUUGUACGGAACGAAAAGGUUUGGCCUAAUAAGCUGAGCUCAUGACAGUACCGUAAGAAUAAGCACCGGCUAACUACGUGCCAGCCGCCGCGGUAA